Molecule: ribosomal RNA, 450 nt
Filed under: uncultured bacterium
Lineage: Bacteria
Description: bacterial SSU rRNA
Rfam family: Bacterial small subunit ribosomal RNA
Source: RNAcentral
GUGGGGAAUUUUGGACAAUGGGCGAAAGCCUGAUCCAGCCAUGCCGCGUGCAGGAUGAAGGCCUUCGGGUUGUAAACUGCUUUUGUACGGAACGAAAAGACUCCUUCUAAUAAAGGGGGUCCAUGACGGUACCGUAAGAAUAAGCACCGGCUAACUACGUGCCAGCAGCCGCGGUAAUACGUAGGGUGCAAGCGUUAAUCGGAAUUACUGGGCGUAAAGCGUGCGCAGGCGGUUAUAUAAGACAGAUGUGAAAUCCCCGGGCUCAACCUGGGAACUGCAUUUGUGACUGUAUAGCUAGAGUACGGUAGAGGGGGAUGGAAUUCCGCGUGUAGCAGUGAAAUGCGUAGAUAUGCGGAGGAACACCAAUGGCGAAGGCAAUCCCCUGGGCCUGUACUGACGCUCAUGCACGAAAGCGUGGGGAGCAAACAGGAUUAGAAACCCGGGUAGUCC